CCUACGGGGUGCAGCAGUGGGGAAUAUUGGACAAUGGGCGAAAGCCUGAUCCAGCCAUGCCGCGUGUGUGAAGAAGGCCUUCGGGUUGUAGCACUUUCAGUGGGGAAGAAAGCCUUGGGGCUAAUACCCUCGAGGAAGGACAUCACCCACAGAAGAAGCACCGGCUAACUCCGUGCCAGCAGCCGCGGUAAUACGGAGGGUGCGAGCGUUAAUCGGAAUUACUGGGCGUAAAGCGCGCGUAGGCGGUCUGAUAAGCCGGUUGUGAAAGCCCCGGGCUCAACCUGGGAACGGCAUCCGGAACUGUCAGGCUAGAGUGCAGGAGAGGAAGGUAGAAUUCCCGGUGUAGCGGUGAAAUGCGUAGAGAUCGGGAGGAAUACCAGUGGCGAAGGCGGCCUUCUGGACUGACACUGACGCUGAGGUGCGAAAGCGUGGGUAGCAAACAGGAUUAGAUACCCGGGUAGUC
Molecule: ribosomal RNA, 463 nt
Filed under: Vreelandella stevensii
Lineage: Bacteria; Pseudomonadati; Pseudomonadota; Gammaproteobacteria; Oceanospirillales; Halomonadaceae
Description: partial 16S ribosomal RNA
Rfam family: Bacterial small subunit ribosomal RNA
Source: RNAcentral